CGGGAGAGUAAAGACUACACUACAUUGUCUAUACAGAACAAUGACGGCAGGGAGGAUGACAGUGGUAAAGAUGCAGUUCUUGAGGAUUCAUUACUUUAAGUUGAAGGUGCAACCACCCGUGGGAACUUCUACGAUUUUGCUAACCAUGGAGACCAGAUUGACGCACUACAUUCUAGUCCAAGAACAUGGCGCAGAGGUACUGAUAGUGGUUUCCAGAUGGAAUUUGAAGAUAUCCCUUCAAGGAGCCAGACUGGCAGUACCAGUUGGCGUCUGACUGGGCUAGAUGUGGUUUGCAGUGACUUUGGCUUCCAAAUUCUCUAAUGACAGGUUCAUUAAGUGAAGUUAAAGUUGUGGGCUCAAAGGCCCUGCUGGCUGUCAUGGAUGCUCCAGAGUCUUGAGGUUAUAAAGUGAACCCUUUGACUAACACCUUGGCUGUACCCUUCACCGGGUGCUAUGUGAAAUGGCUAGGUUUCUGUAAAUGUACUGUAAAGUAA
This is a long non-coding RNA of Micropterus dolomieu (smallmouth bass), 494 nucleotides long. RefSeq lists it as uncharacterized. The transcript has 3 exons. NCBI's taxonomy places the organism in Eukaryota, Metazoa, Chordata, Actinopteri, Centrarchiformes, Centrarchidae. The record is from RefSeq and is a predicted model, not a curated record.